RNAcentral lists this microRNA precursor (87 nucleotides) under Marmota monax (woodchuck). It matches the Rfam family "mir-684 microRNA precursor family". The record is from RNAcentral. Lineage: Eukaryota; Metazoa; Chordata; Mammalia; Rodentia; Sciuridae.
AUGUAGGGCAAUCUGUCUUUAAGUAGGGGUAAAUUACUCUUAAAAAAAGAUUCCUAGAUAGUUUUCCCUUCAAGUCAAGUGUCUUGU